Molecule: long non-coding RNA, 976 nt
Organism: Cygnus olor (mute swan)
Lineage: Eukaryota; Metazoa; Chordata; Aves; Anseriformes; Anatidae
Exons: 3
Source: RefSeq, a predicted model, not a curated record
CAGGGGAAGUGGGCUGUUAACACCAGGCUCUCACCUGCUGUCAGACUGGGCUUAGCACAGGAGAGGAGGGAAGGUUUGGAUGGGGUCUGUCAGGCUUGGUCCGACGCCAAGGCAGGACGGAGCACGGUUGCUUCAAGGCAUGUUCCUGCUGGCAGAGCUGAGGGUGCAGCAGUGUGCACGGGAUCCCUGAUGGUAGAUGCAGGGCCCAAUGCCUUUUUUCACUGGACACAAUGGAAAUCUUUCCUAUGAAUGUAAAGGGAACUGCACUGAACAUAAAUUAUCCACCUUGAGGGAUUAGCUAUGGCGUUAAACAUGAAUCACUGAAUUCAAUGGUGCCCUUCCUGCCUCUCUUCUCCUACAUGAGACUUGACCCAGCCUGUGGAAGUGAUGAAAGGAAAGAUUAAUAAGUGGUAGAAUGAAAGAAGAAAGGGAACAAUUAUAUUAUUUUAACUAACAAAUCUCUCAACUACUUGAACCCACUGCUGUCUCUCACAAAAUACUUUCUAAGUGACUUCUGCCCAUUUCAACACUCAGUUUCUCUGUUAACAGCUCCCUCUGCACAGACCAGAAGUAGACUGUGUAGGGCUUGGAUCUGCCCCUCCAGCCACAUGGAGCACAGGGAUUCAUGGAGAAAUCCCCCCAGAGGAUGUGCUCUGUCAGGCUGCUCUCUAAGCCUCCUUCCAUAAUCCUACUUUCCUCCUUGCUAUGUGAUUCCUUGGCUCCCCUAAAGGCUGUGGGCACUGGCAAUUGUGUGCUGACCCCUGUUGAUACUUUCUACUGGAAAAAGUCUAUGGCAUGUUGCUGCUGGGCCACAGUUCCAUGUGAAGGGGCCAAUUUCUUCUUUGGCCUGGCUUGUCCCCAGGACACAUGCUGUCCAGAAAGAAAAUGGAGAGGAGAAAAGGAAGGAGAAAGAGGUUUCUGCUCCCCCAUCAGUGUAGAGAAGGGUAGAGGACAAGUUCCUGGGAUUUUCAAAAGC